GGGAGGUAGACGAAGACGACAAUGCAUAUAUUUAAGUCUAUCAGGACAGAUAAAUUGAGUUCUGAGAAAACAAAUAUUCCGCUAUGUUACCUUGAAAACGUGAUGAAUUGCCUAUAAAUUAAGCAGUCACGAACAGAAGGACAGAAAACGUCCUUCAAAGACUUACUCAAAACUCAGAUAUGUUAAAGAAGUACGGGAACAUUAUACAAGAACAGGAACGAAGAGGAUUCAUAGAGAAGGUAGAUGAAACAGAUGAACUUAAGAAAAGUAUCACUACAUUCCUUAUUAUCCUGUACAGAAGGAAUCAAGCACUAUGCCUAUCAAAAUUGUUUACAACUGCAUUUGUCGACAUCGCAUAAUUCGCAAAGUUUGAAUGACUGAUUUGUAUGUGGACAACAUUCUGUUAAGUUUACAGAACGAGGGUGGGCUGACUAUAAGGAAGGGAGAUCAAUGAUGGAGGAAACUGGAUUCUAUCUACGAUCCUGGACGUCAAACCGU
Molecule: long non-coding RNA, 498 nt
Filed under: Mytilus galloprovincialis (Mediterranean mussel)
Lineage: Eukaryota; Metazoa; Mollusca; Bivalvia; Mytilida; Mytilidae
Source: RNAcentral